Molecule: ribosomal RNA, 517 nt
Filed under: uncultured bacterium
Lineage: Bacteria
Description: bacterial SSU rRNA
Rfam family: Bacterial small subunit ribosomal RNA
Source: RNAcentral
AGAGUUUGAUCAUGGCUCAGGACGAACGCUGGCGGCGUGCUUAACACAUGCAAGUCGAGCGGUAAGGCCCCUUCGGGGGUACACGAGCGGCGAACGGGUGAGUAACACGUGAGCAACCUACCCUCAACUUCGGGAUAAGCCUCGGAAACGGGGUCUAAUACCGGAUAUCACUGACUGCUUCAUGGCGGUUGGUUGAAAGUUCUGGCGGUUGGGGAUGGGCUCGCGGCCUAUCAGCUUGUUGGUGGGGUAAUGGCCUACCAAGGCGACGACGGGUAGCCGGCCUGAGAGGGUGACCGGCCACACUGGGACUGAGAUACGGCCCAGACUCCUACGGGAGGCAGCAGUGGGGAAUAUUGCACAAUGGGCGGAAGCCUGAUGCAGCGACGCCGCGUGAGGGAUGACGGCCUUCGGGUUGUAAACCUCUUUCAGCAGGGACGAAGCGGCUGGGCUUUCUCAGUCGUGACGGUACCUGCAGAAGAAGCGCCGGCCAACUACGUGCCAGCAGCCGCGGUAAUAC